UCGGAUGAGGGACGCCCUAGACACCGCAAGGGGCCGAAGAAGCAAAGCGUAAGGUAACAUCUUCCUUUCGUGGAAACUACAGGCAAAAAGGAAGGCGACCUGACGAAUCUUUGGAGAGUGUGCAAAGAGAGCACCACCUACGAGGCUAGAACCAACUGGUAAAAGGACAGAGAA
Molecule: non-coding RNA, 174 nt
Filed under: unclassified sequences
Description: glycine-GGAnGA riboswitch aptamer
Rfam family: glycine-GGAnGA riboswitch aptamer
About the family: glycine-GGAnGA riboswitch is a variant of glycine riboswitch that have in common a U69A change.
Source: Rfam by way of RNAcentral